This 274-nucleotide ribosomal RNA is filed under the name uncultured bacterium. RNAcentral describes it as "partial 16S ribosomal RNA". It matches the Rfam family "Bacterial small subunit ribosomal RNA", at positions 523 to 796 of the family's 1533-position model. The record is from RNAcentral.
AUACAGAGGGUGCGAGCGUUAAUCGGAAUUACUGGGCGUAAAGCGCGCGUAGGCGGCUUGGUCAGUCGGAUGUGAAAGCCCCGGGCUCAACCUGGGAAUUGCAUUCGAUACUGCCAGGCUAGAGUAUGGUAGAGGGAAGUGGAAUUCCGGGUGUAGCGGUGAAAUGCGUAGAUAUCCGGAGGAACACCAGUGGCGAAGGCGGCUUCCUGGACCAAUACUGACGCUGAGGUGCGAAAGCGUGGGGAGCAAACAGGAUUAGAUACCCUAGUAGUCC